Acanthopagrus latus (yellowfin seabream) is the source of this 1872-nucleotide long non-coding RNA. RefSeq lists it as uncharacterized. The record is from RefSeq and is a predicted model, not a curated record. The transcript is spliced from 3 exons. NCBI's taxonomy places the organism in Eukaryota, Metazoa, Chordata, Actinopteri, Spariformes, Sparidae.
ACUGAAUCAGUGGUGGAAUGUAAAAAAAGGUCCAAUAACUCAAAUACUGUACUGAAGGACGGUUUAGAUGCACUCAUGCUGCUUCAGGUCAGUAUAGAGCUAAAAUAGAAAGAGCUGAUUCAUCGAUCUGUUGAUUAAUCGAUUUGUUGAUCACAGUUAACUGCUAUUUAUUAAUAACAAUACACUGCCACACUGCUUAUAAUCACACGGUUUAUACUGUAUUAUGUAUAUACACAAGUCUGUUUCUAUUUCUGACCCUUUUAUUGUAUUGUUUAUUUUGUUGUAUUAUUAAUGUUAACUAUGUACCUUAACUGUCCUUUGCCUGCUGUGACACACACAUUUCCCCGUUUGCAGGACUAAUACAGGAAUUCGGAUUAUCUUAAAGAAAAAAAGAAAAGAAGGGGCAUUAUUGUACUUGCACUAGUGUAAUUCAUUAGUGUACACUAUUCAUGAGUCCAAGAGAUGCGAUCAUGAGCUUGUGGACACCGAAAACAAGAACAACAUCUGGAUGCAAUAUCAUUACUGCUUGUUAUAAUUCUAAAUGAUAAAGUUCCUAGAGGGGCGCGCUAUGAAGUUGGAGAAGAAGAACCUGAAUACUUCUACUACCAUCCCUGAACUGAAUACAGAAUAUAACACCAGAGCUGCUCCUGGAUUUGAAACGCUUUUCUCAAAUACCUUCUGAGUCUGGAGAACUUUAAUAUUCUCAAAUUGACACACAUGAUCCAAGACACACACAUCUGCUGCCCUCUUCUAUUGUAGGUGCAUUCAUGUGGGUCCGCAUACACAAAUACAUAAAACGCAGACAUAAAAGCAAGUUUUUAAUUAGUGUCUGGUUUGUUCCCUCUGGGGAUUUGUGGGUUUUUCGCCUCCCGGUGGGAACUUGACCCAACUCGGUCACCCAUUUGACUUUUAUUUCAUCUAAUUGCUUUCAUGCUCAAGUCAUACACCACAUGCCAACACUUACUGUACACUGUGCAAAUAUAAACAGACGGUCCUGCAUAUCAUGGCUUCGGAGAGUUUUCUGCUGCAGUCGUACAUGAAUCCCCUGAAUAGUGGUGAAAGCAUAGCAGGCAUGCUCUGCAGAGAGUGGAGUCUAAAUGUAAUAACACACACACAGGGCAACUCUUAUGUACGGCAGCCAGACAGCUGGCUCCUCAUUCAGCUUGGAGCCAAUUGCAGCAUGGCUCAUAAAACAAGCUCAAUGACCACGAUGAAUGUUUUUACAUAUUAUUUGCGUUACAAUCUGAAACGAUUUCACUUAAGUUUACAUUUCUAAAACACAAACUACAUGCAACCAUCAGUGAGGAGAGUGAGGUUCAGAGCUGCAGGAGUCCAACAAUAGAUUGUAACUAAAUAUUCCUGUAACCCUCGAUGCUGGGAGGAGGAAUAAUAGCUGAGGAGGGCUGUUUCUCACAAGGACACCGUAAUAACUCAGAGCAGUGUCUGAAAAUGUGUUCUUACUCACUACAGGUUCAGUUUUCACUAUGAUAAAGUGGAUUCUUGUGACCAAUCUAAAAACUAACUCCACAUACUCUCAUACCAUUUCUCCAUAGUUUGGUUCUUUCACUUCCUCCUUCAUUUCUUGUUAAAGCAUAGACGUCACUGUAAAUGUCAACAGCUCGGAGUCCCAAACCAAGCUGACACAAGCAUAACCACGACAUGUCUCUCCGAGAAUACAUUCUGUGCCAUAAGCAGGAACAGCGAACUGCUCUCUGCACAGCCAGACAAUAGUUGUCUACAUUUAGAGCAGGUGGAGUCUGGCACAGCAUUCUCACGACCAGACUGAGCGUCUGAGACGUUGCUCAUCGCAGCCCGUCUGGCCAGUGGGUGGUGACUGUCCAUCUGUAAUGUAGUAAACAAUCUCAGAUGGGA